ACACGACUACAUUAGACUACCCGUGUAGUCCUAGCCGUAAACGAUACUCGCUAGGUGUCGGCCACGGUGCGACCGUUGUCGGUGCCGUAGGGAAGCCGUGAAGCGAGCCACCUGGGAAGUACGGCCGCAAGGCUGAAACUUAAAGGAAUUGGCGGGGGAGCACCACAACGGGUGGAGCUUGCGGUUUAAUUGGAUUCAACGCCGGAAAUCUUACCGGGACCGACAGCAACAUGAAGGCCAAGCUGAAGACUUUGCCGGAUUAGCUG
RNAcentral lists this ribosomal RNA (266 nucleotides) under uncultured archaeon. RNAcentral describes it as "partial 16S ribosomal RNA". It matches the Rfam family "Archaeal small subunit ribosomal RNA", at positions 719 to 982 of the family's 1478-position model. The record is from RNAcentral.